Long non-coding RNA from Chelonia mydas (Green sea turtle), 5406 nucleotides. RefSeq lists it as uncharacterized. The record is from RefSeq and is a predicted model, not a curated record. Lineage: Eukaryota; Metazoa; Chordata; Testudines; Cheloniidae. The transcript is spliced from 3 exons.
UCCCUUGGGAGGGGAGACCCAGAGUGUGGGGGUACUGCUGUGGGCAGAACCCCAAGGUAAAGGGCACCGGGGUCCAGGAAUAACAUGGGGGCCUGAGGCAGGAGAGAUGCCAGACAGCAGGGGGUGCUCCAAGUGCUGGAAUUGAGCUAUCUCCUGGAUGACCACCGGGAGACGCCGCAGCGGUGAGUCUGCGACCUGUUAUGUUUAGCAUAUCCAUUUUUAUUAUUGCUACACCGUGAAGCCUUGAAUUUGUAACAAUGAGUUCAAUGCGUAUGCAUGGCACAACAGUGCAGCAAUGACCUCUAUUGCUCCUUGCACUGGCAUGGCAUAUUUCUGCAGGUUUAUUCUUGUAUCAUUUUUCCUACCCUUAUUCCUGUAUUUCUUUUUUGUUUUGUUCUUGUUUUUUUGUUUUUUUUUUAAAUGGAAAUUAGAUUCUGAUUGUGUAGUUGUGGAAACCACAUUACAGUAUUUACUCUGCUUACUACAUAUGGGCUUAUUGAGAAAUUAAUAAGCGAGAUCCAAAGUAUGACUGUAAGUGGUACCUUUGCAUAUAGGUCAGUCAGCCCUGGGAAUUGGCGGGAAUGGAUUUAAUAGAGCCAUUAUCAACAACAAAUAAGGGAUACCAGUAUAUACUGACAGCCACAGAUUAUUUUAUAAGAUGGGUGGAAGCAUUUCCCCUCUGAAACAAGUCAGCAUAUGAGGUGGGAAAGAAAAUGUGCAAAGCUAUUAUUCGAUUUGAAUGUCGACAGUGGAUACUGUCAGAUUGCGGUUCUGAAUUCAAUAAUAAAGUAAAAACUUAUUUUUGAGGUGAUUUUUUUUUUUUUUUAAUUAUUUCUUCAACCACACUAUCAGGUAACAAAUAGUUGAGGGUGAAUAUUAGCUUCAUUGCCCUUGUGGGGUUUUGGGUUUUUUUAAUAUAAAUUGUUGAUGAUGUUUUCUGAACACCCAUUCUACUUUUUACAAACCCUGUGGUUGGUCACCCCAUCAGGGUUGCUAUAAACGUUUUUUGGUGUCUUCUUACUCACCCCCAAAAAAACCCCCAACAUAUUAUUCCAGGUAAUAAUACUAAAAUAUGGGAUAGUAAACCACAGUAAUUACAGCUAAAAUCAAUGGCAAAUUGACAUACAUAUAGACCUGUCCAAAGGCAAGUUUAUGGCAUAAUUUAUUUUCUUUCAGUUGACCUGGAUAUUUGCAAAAAAAAAAAAAAAAAAAAAAAAAUUGGAUUAGAAUGUAGUUUCACCAGACCAUUCACAAACCAAUAGAUUUGAUGGAUUGGUUUGUGUUUUCAUCCAAAGGUAAUUUUAGGGUGGGAAAAUUACAGUAGUAAAGGCAAGUAGAAUGCAUCAUGCCAGAAGCUGCAAAUUGGUUCUAAAUCUUCAAAGUCAACUACAUUGCAAGUCUUUUUACCAUAUCAUAUGUAAAAUGAAAAAUAAUCAUAUCAAUGCACUGUGAUGGUCUCCUCCUUAUGCCUUUUUGAUUCCAUAUAAUCUGUAUCAGUCAAGACAUUGUUUACUUUUUUUCCGCACAAACUAAUCAAUCACCAUUUGUUACAGAGCAUUGCAGAAGUUGGCUGAUAACACUGGAAGUAAUUGGUAUGAAUUUCUUGAUGACAUUUUUGUUUUUUUGUGAUCUAAACCAAACAUGACAACAAAAAGUCACCCUUUUGACUACUGUAUGCCUUGGAAGUAAAAUUUCUAGACCAAGUCUCAGAAAAUUACACAGUAAUUGUAGUUAAAUACCAUCAGCUUUUAUGUAAAGAAUCAAAGAAUAACAUAUUCUCUUCAUAAACCCCUUCUCCAUUUGUUUACAAAGCCACCAAUUUUCAAGGAACUUGCUGAACAAUACUACAAAGAGUACAGCAUAAAUUUGAAAUCUAGAAAGGAUGCUGACAUUGCACUGGCUCCUAGUAAUAUUUCUAAAGCACAAGAAAUACACCAAAUGCAAUACGCUAGAAGAAAGUUAUAAAUAUGGGAACAUAACAUUUGAGGUUGGGGACUGUAUUAUGUUACUGAAUGACAGAAAGAGAACAAGAAAGGAAGGUCCGCUGCAACCUACCUAUCAUGGACCAUACAAAAUUACCAUUUUUGUAGGUAAGAGUUAAACUGGAAACCAUCCAGGGAAACUUUUAGAAUCUGUGUAUAGUAUCUUCCACUUAAAAUCCUUUAAAGAGCCACCAACAUUAGGGUGCUGAAAACAGAUCACAGGAAAACAUGGAAAUGGAGACUGCUGUGGAUGACAUUGAAAAAAGUUCCCUUAGAAGAGAUUGGAAAAAUGGGUAGUGAUGUACCUCACAAGCCUCAUGACAGCAGAAUGAUCAACAUGGAGGUUACGGACUCGGAAGAAGAGGUGUGUGUAGGGGAAGAAGUUGCAAGCAAUGAUUCAAGUGGUGUUGAUAACCUGCUUAUGGAAGAUGGGGAAGACACACUAUGGUUUCUCAAAGGUAAUUGCUUACUACACUUUUUUUAUUUUAUUUUUUUUUAAAUAACCAUUUACAUUUAUGAAGUAUGUUAAAAAAAUUUAAUGUGAAAAUGGCAGCAUUCACUAUGGUAAAACAGAAAAAUGAAACUGUAUUACCGUGCUUGUAAUAUGUAUUUUUUUUCUAGUAAAACUUGUACAGACCCACAAGGUUACACUGAGACUGGAGGCCAAGGUGAGAAAAAUCAGUUUGUAUGACUUUUCAUUUCAUGGCCUGAAGCCAAGAAGCUGGCUGGGUGACUAGGUAAAUUUAACUAGCAGUAAACUUGGGUGGUGACUGGAUUGAUUCGUCAAAUAUUUUUGAAAUUUUUAACGAUUCUUUCAUCUGUUGUAGGUUGUUGAUACAUAUUUUUGUUAUGUGAUCGAGAAAGCAAGUGGAAUGGUAGGCCACUUAUUGUGAUGCUACAUGGAAAUAUCAAUAAUUAAACCAUCAAAUGAAUAUGUGGUAAAACAUAUUUAAGUCCAGAUAGCCUAGAAGUGUGAAUAUAAACCUCUAAUUGAAGCAUUUUGCUGUAGUUACUGCUGCCAAAUAUACUCAAAAGUAUUUUGAAGUGUAUAUACCUGAGAUACAGUCUUUCUCAUGUUGAAGGCCACCUUAGUUUUGCUAUACAGUUCAGUGAGGCCAUGACUUCAACAGUGGUUUGGACACUGGUUAGUCAGCUUUUAAAGUAAGUCAGAGCAUAUGGGGGUCUUAAAAAUAAAAGGUUUUUAAUCCAUCUUAUGUAACUUAUUUGUAACCAUACAGAUCCCUUCCAUGUAUGUAUCUAUGAACUACAUCACGUUCUUCGUGUGUCACAACGAUUGAUCCAUUAAAAACUUGCUUGUAUGUCAGCAGGUAUGAGCCAUCUUUUCGGUAGUUUCCACUAGCCUUCUGUCAGGCGGAGCAACACAAAUGCCACUGAAGAGUGGAAUUAUGCAGCGUGAUAUAUUAUUGCUUCCUUUCAACACAUAAAAUCAGUGGGUUAUUGUGAUCCUUCAUCUACCAAGUAACUGGAAAAUCCACAAUGGAACUCUGGAAAACAUUGUGGAACACAAGAGACAAACUGAUGGGCACAACUGUGUGGACCACUCAUCAUUAUUAUUUGUUAAUGAUGUGUAAUUAUGAUGGGUUUUCUAAUUAGAAGUGUUAUUAGUUUGCAGAAAUGUAUUUACAGCAUAAAGACCUCAGUACUGUAGAAACCACAUGAGGUUCUAACUAGGUUUAGAAGAAAAAUUAGCAAUUAUUUUAAUGAAAGAGUCAGGUAAUAACUUUGUUACAUAUACCUAGUGAGCCCGUAGAAUAUGGGAAGAUAACAGGAAGAGUGGAAUAAUGUUAUAUCACAAACAGUUAUCUUAAUACACCUACAGUGGGGUAUAUCACAGGUUUGGCUCUGCAAUGAUGACUCUGUAUGAAUAAUUUCUAUAAGUACUGAAAAGUGUGUGUGUGUGUGGGGGGUAAAUAGUUGAUAGAGCAGUGAAAUCUAAGUGGAUGUCUUUAUAUCCGCCAGCAGUAAACUAAGAGUUUGAGAAACAUAGAUUAGGGUACUGAUAUAAUUUAAAAUGACCCCUCCCCCUCCCCCCCACAAAAGAAAUAUUUGUAAACCAGUUAAUUGAAAUUGACUUUAAAUAGAAAUCUUGAGUUUAUUCAUUAGAGUUUUGGUCCUAACAUAUUUUAGUACUGUACAUUGAUUGACUUUUCAGAGAACAUGGAGUACGGCAACUUUGUCACUUGCAAAAAAGAAAAUGAAGGUUGCAUGAUAAGAAACUAAAAAUUCUGAGGAAAAAAACACCAUAUGUUGGAGCAGAUAAGUAAGCAGAAUGAUUUAUAGUACAAGAACAAAAGUCAUGGCCUGAGAUCUAGCCAGUUACAUAUAGACCCAACAUAAUAACCUGCCUUAGGAUCAGGAUUCUUGUAGUAAUUCCACAGUAGUGAAUAUUUCCACUGCUGCUGAUAGCCAUAUCUUGGCUAAUUAUAUUGUUCAAGGAAUAUUUUUAAAUGUUAUGAGUUAAUUGAAAUUAUAUUUAGCAUUAUUCUGUGAUUUCAUUUUCUCAUCUAUUACUUAUCAGAAAUCCAGUGUGACUCUUGUAAGAGGUGAGCACAUGUCUCCUGCCUUUCAGAGGGAACCAAUGAGGAGAACCCAAUUAAGAGGAAAAAAAUACAGCUGCAAAAAGUGUGCAUAGGUCAGAUGUUUACAAAAAAUGUAAUUUGUUUUGUGAAGAGAAAUAUUUUGGCUUUCCUGGAAUAACACAACUGGAAUAUAAAUGAGUAAUAGAGAACUUUAAUUUCACUAAAGAAAAGUGUUAAGUGUAUUUAUAAACAUGCUUAGAUGCUUUUUUUUUUUUUUUUUAAAUGUUGAAAUGAAAAAUAAACAAUUCUUGUUUACAUAGCUUGUUAUAAUAAAGCUUUUAAAUUUUGAAAAAUACCUCUUUGCCUACACUUACAGUGGCGAUUUUGUCAUACUCUGGUCCAGGGGUAGCUAAUUGUGAUGGACCAUUGAUACCCUCUUCAAAUUUGCUAUCCCUGGACCAGAGGAUGACAAGAGUGAGAGGUAGCAAAUUGUGUACUCAGCAAUUCUGGAUCUUGGUGUAUGGAGAUUGGAAAAAAUAAGGGAUUUUCCAUGUAAUAAAAGAACUGCUGGCAACCCUACCUAUAAUUCUCAGCAUGCAGGAGCUGGGCUGUCAGUUAGAGCCCUCCAGCAGGACUGAGGUCCCGCAGGACCUGCUUCCAUAAUAGUGGGAGUGGGUAAAAUCUACUUUGUUGUGGGGGGGAUUGGGUGUGCGCCCCCCCCCCCAAAAAAAAAAAACAAAAAAAAAACCCAGCCUGUGGUAAUUUGCAGGAAAACAAAUAGAAUUUAAGCAAUGUAAAACAAGCUUUCCACCAUUUAUUUUUUUUAAAAAUAAAUGUUUUAAUACUUUAAGCAAGGGAUAGAAAGAGAUUUGAUGUCUAUUAUA